RNAcentral lists this ribosomal RNA (435 nucleotides) under uncultured bacterium. Its description in RNAcentral is "bacterial SSU rRNA". It matches the Rfam family "Bacterial small subunit ribosomal RNA", at positions 338 to 795 of the family's 1533-position model. The record is from RNAcentral.
CCUANGGGGGGCAGCAACUGGGAAUCGUGCACAAUGGACGAAAGUCUGAUGCCGCAACACCGCGUGAAGGAUGAAGGUUUUAGGAUUGUAAACUUCUUUUGCCAAGGUUGAGAGACCUUGGCGAAUAAGCACCUGCAAACUCUGUGCCAGCAGCCGCGGUAAGACAGAGGGUGCGAGCGUUAUCCGGAUUUAUUGGGCGUAAAGCGUUUCGUAGGUUCCUUAUUGCAUCCUAUCUUAAAGCCCAAAGCUUAACUUUGGAUAUGGGUAGGAGAUGAAUAGGGUAGAGUCUAGUAGGGGGUGCUGGAAUUCCCGGUGGAGCAGUGAAAUGUGUUGAUAUCGGGAGGAACACCAAUGGCGAAGGCAAGCACCUGGGCGAAGACUGACACUGAGGAACGAAAGUUAGGGGAGCGAAAGGGAUUAGAUACCCCGNUANUC